Molecule: long non-coding RNA, 706 nt
Filed under: Capsicum annuum
Lineage: Eukaryota; Viridiplantae; Streptophyta; Magnoliopsida; Solanales; Solanaceae
Description: long non-coding RNA (CANN_LNC003495)
Source: RNAcentral
UUGCCUAAUGUAUGAUGAACAAGAUUUGUUGGUAUAUUAAUAACAUUAACAUCAGUUAGAUAAAUAACUUUAGUCAGAUACGUUAGCCUAUGUACCAUCAUCAUAAAAAUUUCUUAAAUACAUACAUUUUGUGAAUUUUUUUGAACGAAGAAAACAGACGUUUUUUAUCAGACCUGGCUAAAUCUCCACUAGUCUCGUCAGAAUUCUCCAAAAAUUGUUGAAAAAGAUGAAGCUUUGGGAGUUUUUCAUUUUGGUGGUGGUUCACCGAUGUUUCUUUUUUUUUUUUUUUGAUCGGAGACGACCAGAGAUGGAAAGACACGAAGAUGGAGAGAGGGAGAUGAGAGUGCAUCGGAGUGAAGGAAAAGAGGAAGAGGGAGAGGGCGACAAAUUUGAUGAUGCAUGGACGAUGGGAGUUACAGAGAUAAGAAGUUCUCCGCAAUCGUCGUGAGAGAAAAAUGAAGAUGCAGUGGACAACUAAUAGAAAUUCAGGAGAUCUAAGAACAAUGGAAAAGGAGAUCUGAGAAGAUAAAAAUAAAUAUGUGUUGUAUCCGCAUAGUUUAUUGAGAGAGAAUAAAAUAUGAGAUGAUAUAUAAUUAAAUAAAAGGUUUGAGAUAUCUGGAUAGUCAUAUACUUCUUUUUUUUUUUUUUCUCAUCUAGUGUUCGGUAUCCAUAUUAGAGUCCGAUUAAUCUGAAUUCGUACCGCGUU